GGGUUGUGAGGUUAAGCGACUAAGCGUACACGGUGGAUGCCCUGGCAGUCAGAGGCGAUGAAGGGCGUGCUAAUCUGCGAUAAGCGCCGGUAAGGUGAUAUGAACCGUUAUAACCGGCGAUACCCGAAUGGGGAAACCCAGUGUGAUUCGUCACACUAUCAUUAACUGAAUCCAUAGGUUAAUGAGGCGAACCGGGGGAACUGAAACAUCUAAGUACCCCGAGGAAAAGAAAUCAACCGAGAUUCCCCCAGUAGCGGCGAGCGAACGGGGAGGAGCCCAGAGCCUGAAUCAGCAUGUGUGUUAGUGGAAGCGUCUGGAAAGGCGCGCGAUACAGGGUGACAGCCCCGUACACAAAAGCGCAUGUGCUGUGAGCUCGAUGAGUAGGGCGGGACACGUGGUAUCCUGUCUGAAUAUGGGGGGACCAUCCUCCAAGGCUAAAUACUCCUGACUGACCGAUAGUGAACCAGUACCGUGAGGGAAAGGCGAAAAGAACCCCGGCGAGGGGAGUGAAAAAGAACCUGAAACCGUGUACGUACAAGCAGUGGGAGCACAGGUUUACCUGUGUGACUGCGUACCUUUUGUAUAAUGGGUCAGCGACUUAUAUUCUGUAGCAAGGUUAACCGUAUAGGGGAGCCGGAGGGAAACCGAGUCUUAACCGGGCGUUAAGUUGCAGGGUAUAGACCCGAAACCCGGUGAUCUAGCCAUGGGCAGGUUGAAGGUUGGGUAACACUAACUGGAGGACCGAACCGACUAAUGUUGAAAAAUUAGCGGAUGACCUGUGGCUGGGGGUGAAAGGCCAAUCAAACCGGGAGAUAGCUGGUUCUCCCCGAAAGCUAUUUAGGUAGCGCCUCGUGAAUUCAUCUCCGGGGGUAGAGCACUGUUUCGGCUAGGGGGCCAUCCCGGCUUACCAACCCGAUGCAAACUGCGAAUACCGGAGAAUGUUAUCACGGGAGACACACGGCGGGUGCUAACGUCCGUCGUGAAGAGGGAAACAACCCAGACCGCCAGCUAAGGUCCCAAAGUCAUGGUUAAGUGGGAAACGAUGUGGGAAGGCCCAGACAGCCAGGAUGUUGGCUUAGAAGCAGCCAUCAUUUAAAGAAAGCGUAAUAGCUCACUGGUCGAGUCGGCCUGCGCGGAAGAUGUAACGGGGCUAAACCAUGCACCGAAGCUGCGGCAGCGAACGUAUCACUUAAAGCGAUUCAGCGGGUUACGAUUGACGGAGCGAAGCGACGUCAAAGCGUAUACAAAGUCGAGUCGGUUUAAGGAUACGUUCGUUGGGUAGGGGAGCGUUCUGUAAGCCUG
Molecule: ribosomal RNA, 1302 nt
Filed under: Salmonella enterica subsp. enterica serovar Anatum
Lineage: Bacteria; Pseudomonadati; Pseudomonadota; Gammaproteobacteria; Enterobacterales; Enterobacteriaceae
Also listed under: 1 other name
Description: partial 23S ribosomal RNA
Rfam family: Bacterial large subunit ribosomal RNA
Source: RNAcentral